RNAcentral lists this non-coding RNA (31 nucleotides) under Mus musculus (house mouse). The record is from RNAcentral. Lineage: Eukaryota; Metazoa; Chordata; Mammalia; Rodentia; Muridae.
UAGCAAGUUGUAAACAAGUUUCUGUCAAUAG